Molecule: transfer RNA, 77 nt
Filed under: Halarcobacter bivalviorum
Lineage: Bacteria; Pseudomonadati; Campylobacterota; Epsilonproteobacteria; Campylobacterales; Arcobacteraceae
Description: tRNA-Arg
Rfam family: tRNA
About the family: Transfer RNA (tRNA) molecules are approximately 80 nucleotides in length. Their secondary structure includes four short double-helical elements and three loops (D, anti-codon, and T loops).
Source: RNAcentral
GCGUCUGUAGCUCAGCUGGAUAGAGCAAUGCCCUUCUAAGGCAUCGGUCACACGUUCGAAUCGUGUCAGGCGUGCCA